This 306-nucleotide ribosomal RNA is filed under the name uncultured bacterium. Its description in RNAcentral is "partial 16S ribosomal RNA". It matches the Rfam family "Bacterial small subunit ribosomal RNA", at positions 28 to 320 of the family's 1533-position model. The record is from RNAcentral.
GACGAACGCUGGCGGCGUGCUUAACACAUGCAAGUCGAGGGCACUUUGGGGGCAACCCUGGAGUGACCGGCGAACGGGUGCGUAACACGUGAGCGACCUUGCCUCGUGGUGGGGGAUAGCCGGCCCAACGGCCGGGUAAUACCGCAUAUGGUGCUGACUCCGCAUGGAGACGGCAGCAAAGCCCUGGAGCAAUCCAGUGGCGCCACGAGGGGGGGCUCGCGGCCUAUCAGCUAGGUUGGGGGGUAAUGGCCCACCAAGGCGACGACGGGUAGCUGGUCUGAGAGGAUGGCCAGCCACAUUGGGACU